UGACCAAAAUCACUUCAUUUGCAGCCUUGGCAAGGCCAUAUUGUUGCCUCAGACUCCCUAAGUUGUCAAGUGAUCCCUCAAACAAGCAAAAUAUGUCAUCCUUAACAGCAAAUGACCUGGGGAGUACAGCAGACUCUUUGGAGUGAGAGUAAGCGAGUUGGACAAAAUCGCCGAUCUGCAUAGAAAUCGCCGACGAAUUGCUUUGAACAAACCGGUUCACCAGAGCAUCCGACGUGAUCUUAGGUGAAGGAGUCCGGCUACCGGCGGCGACGAGCUCGUCGGGCGGAGAAACAAUGGAACUGCUAAAUACACCCAACAUUUCCUAAGAAUUCAAAAAUAACCACAGAAAAGAAAAUAAAAACUACGCCAAUCACCCUAUUUCUCUCUAGAAGUGUGUGAAACAG
RNAcentral lists this unclassified non-coding RNA (404 nucleotides) under Hevea brasiliensis (rubber tree). Lineage: Eukaryota; Viridiplantae; Streptophyta; Magnoliopsida; Malpighiales; Euphorbiaceae. The record is from RNAcentral.